CCACCACAACCACCACCUCAACCACUCUAGCGCACGCGGGCGGUGCUCAAGAGACGAGACAGCUUCGCCAGACAGCUCCCGGUGUUCUUCCGUCGAAGAAGGGCACACAGACAGACAGACAGACGUCUCAUUCAGUCAACCCACACCACCUGGGUCUGUACGGUGACCUCCUGCACGUAACCUGGCACAUUAGUCAACCCACAACGUCUGGGCCUCGAGGUGCACCUAGACUGGUACAAGCGGCGUGGUGAUGUCACCGCCACCUAGUGGCGAUGUUGUUGUUGUUGUUGUG
Petromyzon marinus (sea lamprey) is the source of this 292-nucleotide non-coding RNA. The record is from RefSeq and is a predicted model, not a curated record. Lineage: Eukaryota; Metazoa; Chordata; Hyperoartia; Petromyzontiformes; Petromyzontidae.